GCCGAGGUGGUGGAAUUGGUAGACACGCCAUCUUGAGGGGGUGGUGAGCGAAAGCUUGUGGGAGUUCAAAUCUCCCCCUCGGCACCA
RNAcentral lists this transfer RNA (87 nucleotides) under Dehalococcoidales bacterium. RNAcentral describes it as "tRNA-Leu". It matches the Rfam family "tRNA". From Rfam's summary of the family: Transfer RNA (tRNA) molecules are approximately 80 nucleotides in length. Their secondary structure includes four short double-helical elements and three loops (D, anti-codon, and T loops). Lineage: Bacteria; Bacillati; Chloroflexota; Dehalococcoidia; Dehalococcoidales. The record is from RNAcentral.